RNAcentral lists this ribosomal RNA (270 nucleotides) under uncultured bacterium. RNAcentral describes it as "partial 16S ribosomal RNA". It matches the Rfam family "Bacterial small subunit ribosomal RNA", at positions 83 to 354 of the family's 1533-position model. The record is from RNAcentral.
CUAUGCCGGCGACCGGCGGACGGGUGCGUAACGCGUAUGUAACCUACCUUUGACAGGGGGAUAACAUCGAGAAAUUGGUACUAAUACCCCAUAACAUCACCGGAGGCAUCUUCGGUGGUUGAAAACUCAGGUGGUCAGAGAUGGACAUGCGUUGUAUUAGCUAGUUGGUGAGGUAACGGCUCACCAAGGCGACGAUACAUAGGGGGACUGAGAGGUCAACCCCCCACAUUGGUACUGAGACACGGACCAAACUCCUACGGGAGGCAGCAG